This is a non-coding RNA of Schistosoma mansoni, 65 nucleotides long. The record is from Rfam. NCBI's taxonomy places the organism in Eukaryota, Metazoa, Platyhelminthes, Trematoda, Strigeidida, Schistosomatidae.
CGGUUAAUAGUUAAACAACUCGACUUUCAACCAAUAGAUUACAGGUUCAAAUCCUGUUUAACCUA